RNAcentral lists this long non-coding RNA (2547 nucleotides) under Podarcis lilfordi (Lilford's wall lizard). The record is from RNAcentral. Lineage: Eukaryota; Metazoa; Chordata; Lepidosauria; Squamata; Lacertidae.
AGUGGUUAAGAUGAAUGUAUUGCCGAAAAUGCUGUUUUUGUUUCAAACUUUACCUAUUAUUGAUAAUGUCAAAUGUUUUAAAGAAUGGCAGAAGGCCCUGUCCAAAUUUAUCUGGCAAGGGAAAAAACGAGAAUUAAAUAUUAAUUACUUACGGAUUUUUCUAUUUUAUGCUUUUUCUUUAUUAUUGUCAAUUUUUUCUUAUGUUUAUGUACUGAAAAUAAUAAUUAUUAUAUAUAUAUAAAAAAGAAAAAUUGCCACACACAGGGAGAACAAGGACAUAGUUUGAGUUUCAAAUAAUAGCAUUAAAAAAUGAAGAGGGGGAAAAAUAAUUAAAAAGGGAAAAGAAAGAGCAAAAAAAUUACCUCCCAUUUGAAUCACUUAUAAAAAGAUAAAAAACAAAGAAUAGUAUUACUAAGAAGAAAAACAGUCAGUUAAAAAUAUUUUGCAGGUGUCCAAAUAGAAAGAAAUAGGCCUAUCCAUUUUCAUUCAUGUCAAAAAAAAAUGCUUCAAUCUUUGUCUGAGAAUAAGAGGGACUUAAAACAGAGAUGUCAGUUUUGAGAGUAACAACAUUGCCUUUAAGAAGGACGUUUUAUCAUUAGGCGCUGCUAGGUUCUCCUGAAUCAGCUUUAGAAGUUGAACCUGAGCCAAUAUCUCUUUGAGAACUUUUAAGAGUAGAGGCUUCGGCUGCAAUUGCCCCCCCCCCCCCCAGGAGGCAUCUCAUUAAGGCAAGGCAAAAUAAGCUAAGAACUUUCUCCUUUACCCAUAUAUUAUGAUCAAAAAAUGAAGUCUUCCAGAAAUUAUCCCACACCAUGCUACUGCCAUGGUAAGCUUGAUAAGUAAGCUUCCUGUUUUUUCAAUGGAUUUCUUUUGGGGGGAAAUUAACACAGGUAGCUCUCUUGUUGAUUAGAUUAAGCUAUGCCUUGGAAUUGCAGCGAAUUCACAGCUGCAUUUCAUCUUUUUUCCAGAGCCACCAUGGGCGUUUCUGGCACCCAGUUGCCAUUGAAAGAAUACAGCACACAAUGGCUGUUCACAGUUGCGUGCCUGUGGAGGUGGAAUGCAAAAUGCAAAGACGUUCCAAUCUCUGGCACUUCCAAUUAGACCUCCUCACUACAGCCUAAAGACCUGCCCCUUUCCAACUCCUCACACAGAAGCACUUCCAGUGAUUUUGCAACUCCCACUCACCCCGAAACAAAACAGACCUUAGGAUCUGUGAGGAGGCUACAGUCCAGUAGUUCAGCACCAUCCUCCUCCUCCAUACACUUAGCCAAUUCUCCUUUUGGCUUGGCAACAAAUGCUGUAAAAUUAAUUACUGUAUUUUUUGUUCUACAAGACUCACUUUCUCCCUCCUAAAAAGUAAGGGGAAAUGUGUGUGCAUCUUACAGAGCGAAUGCAGGCUGCGCAGCUAUCCCAGAAGCCAGAACAGCAAGAGGGAUCACUUCUUUCACUGCGCAGCGAUCCCUCUUGCUGUUCUGGCUUCUGAGAUUCAGAAUAUUUUUUUUCUUGUUUUCCUCCUCCAAAAGCUAGGUGCAUCUUGUGGUCUGGUGCGUCUUAUAGAGCGAAAAAUAUGGUAUCUGGUCUGUUAAACUCCAAAUCCCUUUUGCCUGCCCUGAAUGCCCUGCCUAUCAAUUAAACUGAGUAACCUAUUUUAGCAUGAUGAAAGAAGUAUUUCUAUCCCCAUAAAACCUCUUGCCGUAUCGGUCCUCAGCUACCUUUUGUUCUAAACUAAAAAGCCACCUGGUAGUUUCGUUGGUUAGUGUGUGGUGCUGAUAAUGCCACGGUUGCAGGUUCAAUCCCCAUAUGGGACAGUGGCAUAUUCCUGCGCUGCAGGGGGUUGGACUAGAUGGUCCUCAGGGUCCCUUCCAGCUCUACAGUUCAACAUGUUCUAUUGUAUCACCCCUAUAGAAAUGCUUAUGGUAGAUGCAGCAAAUGGGGCCUGUAGUGCAAAUCACAAGAGAAUCCUGUUCACACACCCCACCAAAUGUGAUCUGCCAUAUAUGAUAGAAUCAUAGAAGUGUAGAAUUGGAAGGGACCUCGAGGGUCCUAAAUUCUGGACUAAAGUACAGUGGUGCCCCGCAAGACGAAUGCCUCGCAAGACGGAAAACCCGCUAGACGAAAGGGUUUUCCGUUUUGGAGGUGCUUCGCAAAACGAAUUUCCUAUGUGCUUGCUUCGCAAGACGAAAAUGUCUUGCGAGUUCCUGCGGGGUUUUUUUCCUUUUCCCUCCCUUUUCCCCAAGCCGCUAAACCGCUUAUCAGCUGAUGGCUAAGCCGCUUAUCAGCUGAUCUUUAAGCAGCUUAACAGCUGAUGCUAAGCCGCUUAUCAGCUGAUCUUUAAGCCGCUUAACAGCUGAUGCUAAGCCGCUUAUCAGCUGAUCUUUAAGCCGCUUAACAGCUGAUGCUAAGCCGCUUAUCAGCUGAUCUUUAAGCCGCUUAACAGCUGAUGCUAAGCCGCUUAUCAGCUGAUCUUUAAGCCGGCUAAGCCACUAAUACUGUAGCGCUAAGCCGCUAAACCUCUAAUGGGCUUGCUUCGCAAGACGAAAAAACCCGCAA